Long non-coding RNA from Panicum virgatum (switchgrass), 2056 nucleotides. RefSeq lists it as uncharacterized. NCBI's taxonomy places the organism in Eukaryota, Viridiplantae, Streptophyta, Magnoliopsida, Poales, Poaceae. The record is from RefSeq and is a predicted model, not a curated record. The transcript has 2 exons.
UCCUCUCUCUCACCAUCUUUCUUCCUGUAUAAAUAGCCCUUGCUCUCCCCCUCUUCCUCCUCCACCCACUUGACACUACAAGAAGGCAGUGUUGCUUCUUCUUCCUCUAGCACUGAAUGGCCUCCUCUGUGAUCUUCCACAGCUUUCUUGAACUGCAUCUGCAAAGGGAUGCGCCUUCUACUUGCAUGAACACGUGCAGUUCAAUAAAGCUGUGGGAAACUGCAGAGAGAGGCCAAUUGAGCAGCGUCGCCGGUGGAGCACCCUUUCCGCUUGUAGAUGCACGGUGCCCGGAGAAGAAUAUAGAUCCGCCUCUUGCAUGGGAAGGUAUACGCACCGAUAGAGAGGGGAACCGGCAGUGUUUCAGUUUAACAUUUUCUUUUGAUAAUGGGGGUUUUCCCUCUAAGUUUUACUCUGUGUAAUUCAUGCUCAAAUAGUAUCGAGAAGUACGUUCAUGUUCUUCUGUUUAUUUUCCUACAAGAAGUUAUUUCUCUCUCUCUCUUGUUGGGAGCAGUGACACAUUUUUUUUUGGAAACCUUCAACCAGAGUGAGAUUUGCUUGCCAUUAUUUAAGACAGGAAGAAGGUUUUAACUAAAGCAAAAAAGCAGGCGCUAAAUUCAGUUCAAUUUUAAGAUCCUCCCAUAGGGAGUUUCAGUGAAAAGGCACACCUGCUUAAUCAACUCCGGUGUGAAAAUCACGCCACCACGCACUAGCUGAACCAUGUAUAGGUUGAGAUCGAGCAAUUAGACCACGAGGACCAACAAAACAUUCACAAAUUUCGAAGUUCAAAGAAAUCCUUAAGGUAGCCCCCCUCACCGGUCACUGUCUAUGUGAAGGCAGUGUCCAUUCUCCUUUUUCCUCAAUCAAAUGUUUACUUGAUAAUGCAUUGACAGGCUAGAUUACUCAAGAUUUCACAUAUAUUGAAUUCAAUUUUUCAAGAUUUGUGUUUUUUUAAAUACACGGUGCUUGCAGGCUUGCAGCAUGUUAGUAUAUUACUAUUGCUGCUGUUUCCCCUUCUUUCUGUAUUUGUUUACUGCUAAUCUACAGCCUAUUUCUUGACCUUAUUUUGAGACUCAUCAUGUAUAUUACCACUAAAGGGUAGUUCAUGCUCCUUCUUUUCAUAAUAUAUCUACACUAUUGUCACUCGAUAACGCAUGGACUGACUAGAUUACUCAAGAUUCUACACAUAUAUUUUCUUGACUUUCUUUUUGAAAAACACAAAGUACCUGCAGUGCCAUAUAUUUUACUAACUGCUCGAUCAUGUUUUUCAUUCUUGCAGUGUCUGUUUAAAACUCAGCCAAUUACUAUUACAGUUUUCCCUGUAGGGAGGGGGUGAGAGAGGGAGAGAGCCCAGCUUUCUGAACGAAAAGAAAACUGAGAGCCCGUAGUUACCAAAAAUUUUCAUCCAAAAAUUUUUAUCUCUCCUUUUACCACGAACACAUGCAUGUAGUAUUAAAUAUAGUUAAAAAAAUAAAACUAAUUGUACAGUUUGAAUGUACAUGACGGGACUAAUCUUUUGAGCCUAAUUAGUGCAUAAUUAGCCAUAAGUGCUACAGUAACCCACAUGUACUAAUGAUGCGGUCAAAGGCCUCAAAAAAUUCGUCUCACGAUUUCCAGGUGGGUUCUGAAAUUAGUUUUUUUUAAUUAGUGUCCAAAAAACCCUCUCAACAUCUGAUCAAAUAGUCGAUUUAACAUCCAAAAAUUUUAUUUUGGGAACUAAACAGCCUGUGAUUGAAAAGGUGGCCCAGCGAAAGCUGCUGCUGGAGGGGGUGCAAUGAGUAGAUCUUUUGCUGGCGAAAUGAAAAGGCGCUGCCAAAGAGCCCUGAAGCCUCAAAUCACAGUACCAGUACUUUGCAGCACCGGCUGGCUCUCCCUCCUUUCUUCGCUGUAAACACUGCCCUACCACCGCGUCCAGUCCCCGGCCAAGCAAAGCAAUUAAGCAAAGGCCGGCCACCCCACCUGCCCAGGCGAUGGGAUUUCCAUUCGCGAAGCCGCGUGCCCGGAGUGGAGGCGGAGCGCCGCUCCCCACUUCAGCACACCCGCCGCCAAUCAACCCCAG